AAUAAUAAUAAUAUAAUAAUAAUUAUAAUAAUAAACAAUAUAAACAAUAUAAUAAAAAUAAACUAAAAAAAACAAAUUAAGGACUAAAUUAAAAUGCCAAACAGAAGUUGAGAGCUAAAUUUGAAAAUAUAAACAAGAAAGGGAGUAAAUUUAAACAGGUGCAAUAGAUAAAGGACAGAAAGAGCAAUUUUCCAACCCGCCCUAAAGCGCUGCACACUAUUGGACCAAUUUGAAACAAAAAUAAAAUGUGCAGUAAAAUUUAAAAGAGAUAAAUUGAAAAACACCCUAAAAUCAUGAGGACUAAUUGCGAAAAUAGCCCUUUUUGAACCCUUAUAAAAUCCCAUUUUUAAAACCCUAAAGUCAUUCCCUUUCUCUGACAUUUGAAGUUGCGUUGUAGCUUCCUAUCUUCUCAGCCAUUCAAGCCUUAUUUCCGACCAGCAACGGCGAUAUGAGGGCACUCCGACGACACCCCAACGGUGGAAUCGGCGUUAUGCGGAGUUGCUGAUCGUGGGUGAAACGACGUGGGUGAUGGACGGUUGCUGCAACGUGGGAACGUGCGGCGCUGAGGCUACCUGCUGCUUAGGGCUUCUGUUAUCUUAGGCCAAUUGGGCCUUGUAAUUGGGUUAGGUUGUAAUUUGGCCUUUAGGUCAGUUUUAGUGAGUAUAGUUGGGCCCGAGCAAUAAUUGGGUAUUACAAUAACAUUAGUAUUUUACCGCAAAAAGAAUAUUAUAGUAAGUCAACGAAAUAAUUAACAGAAA
This is a long non-coding RNA of Gossypium raimondii (Peruvian cotton), 758 nucleotides long. RefSeq lists it as uncharacterized. The transcript is spliced from 2 exons. NCBI's taxonomy places the organism in Eukaryota, Viridiplantae, Streptophyta, Magnoliopsida, Malvales, Malvaceae. The record is from RefSeq and is a predicted model, not a curated record.